Molecule: long non-coding RNA, 955 nt
Organism: Ictalurus punctatus (channel catfish)
Lineage: Eukaryota; Metazoa; Chordata; Actinopteri; Siluriformes; Ictaluridae
Source: Ensembl
AUUUCUUACUGUGAUGUAACUUCCUGCCAUGAUGUUCUCACAUAAAGUGAGGAUUUGGAAAUACACACAUUCCUGACUGAACUGUUCCUGUGGCAGCAUGUACGUUUCGAAAAGGGUUUGGUGUGAGGAGUGGGGUUUGGUGUGAGAAGGUAAGAUUUGGUGUGAGACAGUGGGGUUUGGUGUGAGGAGUGGGGUUUGGUGAGAGGAGUGGGGUUUGGUGUGAGGAGUGAAAUUUGGUAUGAGGAGUGGGGUUUGGUGUGGGGUUUGGUGUGAGGUUUGGUGUGUGGAGUGAGGUUUGGUGUGUGGAGUGAGGUUUGGUGUGAGGAGUGGGGUUUGGUGUGAGUAGGUGAGAUUUGGUGUGAGGAGGUGGUUUUUGGUGUGAGGAGUGGGGUUUUGUGUCGGAGUUGGGGUUUGGUGUAAGGAGUGGUGUUUGGUGUUAGGAGGUGGGGUUUGGUGUGAGGAGUGGGGUUUUGUGUCGGAGUUGGGGUUUGGUGUAAGGAGUGGUGUUUGGUGUUAGGAGGUGGUGUUUGGUGUGAGGAGUGAGGUUUGGUGUGAGAAGUGGGGUAUGGUGUGAGAAGUGGGGUUUGGUGUGAGGAGUGGGGUGAGGAGUGGGGUUUGGUGUGAGGAGUGGGGUUUGGUGUGGGAGUGGGGUUGGUGUGGGAGGUGGGUUUGGUGUGCGGAAGUGGGAUUUGGUGUGAGAAGUGGGGUAUGGUGUGAGAAGUGGGGUAUGGUGUGAGGAGUGUGGUUUGGUGUGAGGAGUUGGGGUUUGGUGUGUGGAGCGGGGUUUGGUGUGAGGAGCAGGGUUUGGUGUGGGAGGUGGGGUUUGGUGUGAGGAGUGGGGUUUGGUGUGAUGAGCAGGGUUUGGUGUGGGGAGUGGGGUUUGGUGUCAGGAAUGGGGUUUGGUGUGAGAGGUGGGGUUUGGUGUGAGGAGUGGGGUUUGGUGUGAGGAGUGCGG